This 440-nucleotide ribosomal RNA is filed under the name uncultured bacterium. Its description in RNAcentral is "partial 16S ribosomal RNA". It matches the Rfam family "Bacterial small subunit ribosomal RNA", at positions 338 to 795 of the family's 1533-position model. The record is from RNAcentral.
CCUACGGGAGGCUGCAGUGGGGAAUAUUGCUCAAUGGGCGAAACUCUGAAGCAGCGAUGCCGCGUGGAGGAAGAAGGUUUUCGGAUUGUAAACUCCUUUUUUCAGGGACGAUAAUGACGGUACCUGAAGAAAAAGCUCCGGCUAACUACGUGCCAGCAGCCGUGGUAAUACGGAGGGAGCGAGCGUUGUCCGGAGUUACUGGGUGUAAAGGGAGCGUAGGCGGGACGGCAAGUCAGUGGUGAAAACUGAGGGCUCAACUUUCAGACUGCAUUUGAAACUGCUGUUCUUGAGUGAAGUAGAGGUAGGCGGAAUUCCUAGUGUAGCGGUGAAAUGCGUAGAUAUUAGGAGGAACACCGAUUGCGAAGGCGGCUUACUGGGCUUUUACUGACGCUGAGGCUCGAAAGCGUGGGGAUCAAACAGGAUUAGAUACCCUAGUAGUC